Molecule: microRNA, 23 nt
Filed under: Ananas comosus (pineapple)
Lineage: Eukaryota; Viridiplantae; Streptophyta; Magnoliopsida; Poales; Bromeliaceae
Description: microRNA s0112_c051
Source: RNAcentral
CGAACUUGGGUCUCAAGUACUAA